Molecule: non-coding RNA, 1832 nt
Organism: Odobenus rosmarus divergens (Pacific walrus)
Lineage: Eukaryota; Metazoa; Chordata; Mammalia; Carnivora; Odobenidae
Source: the annotation of a RefSeq genome assembly
GUCCCAGCGCCCAGCCCCAGAUCUGAUGCGUGGGGUCAGGGGAGAGCGGCCUGUAGAGGUGGGAGGGCCACCCCCGUGGAGCAUCGAGCCCCUGCACCCGCCCCACAGCCAGGGGCGUGCGGAGCUAGAAACCCUCCUCCAGGACCCGCAGUCCCGGCAGACGAGCACAGCCCUGGCCCCCAGGAGCCUGUUCAUGAGGGACAGUGAACAGGCAGAGUUCACAAGGUCGGCCAUGGACCUGGGUGCGGCCCUGCUGGCAGCAGCCGCCAGCCUUUUUGGACCACACGGCUCGGAUGCAGGAGGCCUUUGUCAUGUUGUGUCACUUUGUGACAACUCGUUCUACAACUGGGGCCAGGGGACCCUGGUCACCGUGUCCUCAGAGAGUCUGUCCCCUCCAAACAUCUUCCCCCUCAUCACCUGUGAGAGCUUCCCAUCUGAUGAGACCCUGGUGGCCAUGGGCUGCCUGGCCCAGGACUUCCUGCCCAACUCCAUCACCUUCUCCUGGAACUACCAGAACAGCAGUGAGGUCGGCAACCAGGACAUCAAGAACUUCCCUUCGGUUCUGAGAGAGGGCAAGUACGUGGCUACCUCCCAGGUGUUCCUGCCCUCCGUGGACAUCUUCCAGGGCUCUGAUGAGUAUCUCACAUGCAAGGUCAAGCACCCCAACGGUAACAAAUCCGUGAAAGUGUUCAUACCAGCGACUGGAAUUCUGUCCCCCAACGUGACUGUCUUCAUCCCGCCCCGCGAUGCCUUCUCUGGCAACAGCCAGCGCACGUCCCAGCUCCUCUGCCAGGCCAGAGGUUUCAGCCCCAAGCAGAUCUCCGUGUCCUGGUUUCGUGAUGGAAAGCAGAUCGAGUCCGGCAUUGACACCAGCAAGGUGGAGGCUGAGGACAAAGUGUCCGGGUCUGUGACGUACAGGGUCCUCAGCAUGCUGACCAUCACCGAGAGCGCCUGGCUCAGCCAGAACGUGUUCACCUGCCGAGUGGAGCACAGUGGAGAGAUCUCUGAGAAGAAUGUGUCCUCCAUGUGCACCCCCAAUUCACCCGUCGGCAUCAGCAUCUUCACCAUCCCCCCCUCCUUUGCCGACAUCUUCCUCACCAAGUCGGCCAAGCUGUCCUGCCUGGUCACAGACCUGGCCACCUAUGACAGCCUGACCAUCUCCUGGACCCGCCAGAAUGGCGAGCCUCUGAAGACCCACACCAACAUCUCUGAGAGCCACCCCAACAUCACCUUCAGUGCCAUGGGGGAGGCCACGGUUUGUGUGGAGGACUGGGAGUCAGGAGAACAGUUCACCUGCACGGUGACCCACACGGAUCUGCCCUCGCCUCUGAAGAAGACCAUCUCCAGGCCCAAGGAGGUUGCCAAGCACAUGCCAUCUGUGUAUGUCCUGCCACCAAGCCGGGAGCAGCUGAGCCUGCGGGAGUCGGCCUCGGUCACCUGCCUGGUGAAGGGCUUCUCUCCCCCAGACGUGUUUGUGCAGUGGCUGCAGAAGGGGCAGCCCAUGUCCCCCGACAGCUACGUGACCAGCGCCCCGACACCCGAGCCGCAAGCCCCCGGCCUCUACUUUGUCCACAGCACCCUGACCGUGAGCGAGGAGGACUGGAGCGCCGGGGAGACCUACACCUGUGUUGUAGGCCACGAGGCCCUGCCCCACAUGGUGACCGAGAGGAGCGUGGACAAGUCCACCGGGGGGGAGGUGAGUGCCGACGAGGAAGGCUUCGAGAACCUGAACACCAUGGCAUCCACCUUCAUUGUUCUCUUCCUCCUCAGCGUCUUCUAUAGCACGACAGUGACACUGUUCAAGGUGAAAUGACCGGCCGGCCAAGAACAUC